RNAcentral lists this ribosomal RNA (492 nucleotides) under uncultured bacterium. RNAcentral's name for it is "partial 16S ribosomal RNA". It matches the Rfam family "Bacterial small subunit ribosomal RNA", at positions 29 to 507 of the family's 1533-position model. The record is from RNAcentral.
AGUGAACGCUGGCGGUAGGCCUAACACAUGCAAGUCGAACGGCAGCACAGUAAGAGCUUGCUCUUACGGGUGGCGAGUGGCGGACGGGUGAGGAAUACAUCGGAAUCUACUUUUUCGUGGGGGAUAACGUAGGGAAACUUACGCUAAUACCGCAUACGACCUACGGGUGAAAGCAGGGGAUCUUCGGACCUUGCGCGAUUGAAUGAGCCGAUGUCGGAUUAGCUAGUUGGCGGGGUAAAGGCCCACCAAGGCGACGAUCCGUAGCUGGUCUGAGAGGAUGAUCAGCCACACUGGAACUGAGACACGGUCCAGACUCCUACGGGAGGCAGCAGUGGGGAAUAUUGGACAAUGGGCGCAAGCCUGACCCAGCCAUGCCGCGUGGGUGAAGAAGGCCUUCGGGUUGUAAAGCCCUUUUGUUGGGAAAGAAAAGCAGCAGGUUAAUACCCCGCUGUUCUGACGGUACCCAAAGAAUAAGCACCGGCUAACUUCGUG